GGCGGACUGCACCCACUGGCACAUACCGAGCUGGGCCAAUACUAGUAUUUGGCACAAGUAGAUGUCAACUGGAUCCAAUUUUCAGAAUAUGUUAAUUAGAAAGGAUUUCUUUAAAAAAAAAAGCUUGAGCUUAUAGAAAGGCACAUCUGCUGAUACUGCAUGGCACAACAUGUCCUGUGAGUGACUGGCACCAAUACUGGAAUUGAUGCCUAAAUCUUUUGAGGAAAAAAUGCAUUAUUACAUUCAACAUACAGAGGUUUAAUCAAGAAAACUUCUAAGCAUUUCAUUGAAUUCUGAAUUCAACUCAUGACUUGCCACAAAGACCUCAAAGCAACCUUAAACUCAAUCCAAAUAAAAUUAAUACUUUCCUGACCUAACAUAUUAUCGAACUAAGACUUCUUUAGACAUUAAGGCUCAAAAUAGGACUAAGUUCACACAAUAUAGAACUCCUCAUCUCGUCUUAGACUCACAUAACAAUGUAAAAUGCCUCAUGACUUAAAAUAUAUUUCAUGGAGAACCCAAUAAGAUUCUAAAUAGAAUUUAAAGAUCCAUA
Molecule: long non-coding RNA, 553 nt
Filed under: Phoenix dactylifera (date palm)
Lineage: Eukaryota; Viridiplantae; Streptophyta; Magnoliopsida; Arecales; Arecaceae
Description: long non-coding RNA (PDAC_LNC021880)
Source: RNAcentral